UUUGAGAAAACCUCGCUCUCUCUCUCUCUGUACGCUCAUGAACCCUCUCUCUCUCAACUCUCGCUCUCACGUUUAUGAAGCACCAUCUACCUUGCGCUGUCCAGGACACCGAACUCGUCGAGAUCACCAUCUCUGUCGCGUCGUUCAGGUCACCGUGCUCGCCAUCGUCACCAUCUCCCUCAUGCUCUCCAUGUCACCGAGCUCUCUGAGCUCGCCAUCUCCCUUCGUGUCUUAGAGUUCUGUCGCAGGUUUCGUUGAACAUCUUCAAGGAUUUGAAAGGAUUGGCAGCUUAGUAGCCAGAGUUGGUCUGUACAGAGAUGACAUCGAAUUAGUCGUUGCCCAGAGUUAGAAGGUUUAUGCAAAACUAAUAUUUUUUAACGUCUCUGCGUUUGGUUUUUAUUCCACACGACUGCAUAUGUUCGGUAUGCUUAUGAUUCAUUGGGUUCUUUUACAAUUUAUAGAUAAUGCGAAAAAAGAAAGAACGAAGUUUUGAAAUUCAUAUUGGUUUCUGGGUUUACACUGAAAUUGACGAAGCAUAUACGCACAAGAAGGCUUGAGGAUGUACUAAAGCUUGGAUAUGAUAUGAUUGUUCUCUUUCAAUUUGGGCUAGGUGCUAACACCUACUAUGUCAAAUUGAAGCUAUAUGCCCAAGGAAAUGUUAUUCUCGCAGAUUCCGAUUUUAUGGUCAUGACUCUUCUUCGCUCGCCAUAGGAAAAAACUGUUGCUAUCAUUUCACAUAUAUGCGCAAGGUUCACUGGUUUGAAAAUUUUAACUGGUUUAUCAGCAGUGAGAACUAUUUGGUUAUCAGUGGACGUGAUGCCCAACAAAAUGAGAUGAUUGUCAAGUGCUAUAUAUCAAAAGGAGAUCUGUAAAUCAACUUAGACGUUGACAUAAUGUGUUUUAGUUCUCAUCUACAUAAACUGCCACUGAACAAUAAUUCAUACCAGCUUGUGGAUUCCUUAUCCACUCUUUGUAAUUAGAUUUCCCACUUAGUCUCUAUCCUAUAUUGCUUGGGUUGGAGAAUUGGAGAUACCUAUAGUUAACACCUGGUUCCCUGUUUAGUCACUUUAGUAGCAUGACAAUCUUAUAAUAAUUACAGGCCCCGUUUGGUAGGCUGUACUGGACUGGUUAGGAUUGGGCUUGAAGUGUUAGACUGGACUAGUUUGGAUUGGGCUAGACUUCAAGUGCUAUUGAGUUGUUUGGUAGAGCACGAGACUGGAUUAGACUUAAGUCCAGUCCAUUGUUUGGUACAAGGCCACACUGGACAACAUUGGACUUCAUUUUUUUUUAAUUUCAAAAUUAAU
Prunus avium (sweet cherry) is the source of this 1304-nucleotide long non-coding RNA. RefSeq lists it as uncharacterized. Lineage: Eukaryota; Viridiplantae; Streptophyta; Magnoliopsida; Rosales; Rosaceae. The record is from RefSeq and is a predicted model, not a curated record.